AAAAUAACGACAGUCAGAUCAGCCGGCUGCUCUCUGGCAUCUCAGCCUCAGCCUCGUAGGACCAAGAAGGGGUUCCUCGUCCUGGGGUUGGGGGGAGCAAAAAAACGCCCAAGCGAGAUCCCCCUAGACUGGGGCCGCCUCUUUCGGCUUCGGCAGCUGAACUCAGCUUGCAGGGGGCUCCUUCUCGCGGCCGGCGGGCGGCGGCAGCGGCUACGAUUCGCAGGCUUGAGAUCCGUUGCCCCGAGAUCCGCUGCCCGCGACUUACCCCCUAGCACCUUGAAGCGCGAGGGACCAAGAAGCUUUGUAAAUAGCAGAAGGGAGUGGAUGCAAGGAGGUGGCGGUGAGAGGGCGCGAAGAGAAGAAAAAGGAAGGAGCCGAGCUGGCAGCCGCCGCUGGAGGAAUCUGAGCGUGCAGCCGGCGCGGGGGGAGAGGCA
Molecule: long non-coding RNA, 434 nt
Filed under: Marmota monax (woodchuck)
Lineage: Eukaryota; Metazoa; Chordata; Mammalia; Rodentia; Sciuridae
Source: RNAcentral